GGUCGCAAGGUAUGUAUGACAUUUUGACACAGAAUAUUUUCCUCAUUUGAAGGGGGAUUAAGUGAUUGCUUCUUUUUAAGGAUAAAUGUUUUCAACUGUCAUUUUAUCUUCGAAAAGUAAUGUAAUCUCAUAUAAGACUUAAGAUAUAAUCCUUUUAAAUAAUUUUGUCAUGUGUUAAUAAAGCUCAUAAUUACAGUCACUUCCUUGCCUAAUAUUAAC
This 219-nucleotide long non-coding RNA is filed under the name Homo sapiens (human). RNAcentral describes it as "HSALNT0286565". Lineage: Eukaryota; Metazoa; Chordata; Mammalia; Primates; Hominidae. The record is from RNAcentral.